RNAcentral lists this telomerase RNA (342 nucleotides) under Stegastes partitus (bicolor damselfish). RNAcentral's name for it is "Vertebrate telomerase RNA (ENSSPAG00000007730.1)". It matches the Rfam family "Vertebrate telomerase RNA". Rfam says of the family: Telomerase is a ribonucleoprotein reverse transcriptase that synthesises telomeric DNA. Telomerase RNAs differ greatly in sequence and structure between vertebrates, ciliates and yeasts, but they share a 5' pseudoknot structure close to the template sequence. Vertebrate telomerase RNAs have a 3' H/ACA snoRNA-like domain. The record is from RNAcentral. Lineage: Eukaryota; Metazoa; Chordata; Actinopteri; Pomacentridae.
CUUCGCGGGGUGUCUCUUCUAACCCUAAAUACGGGCCGCCUCCUGUACUCAUCGUUUGUUGUUUUCUCGUUUCUGGCUUUCAGCAAACUACGGGAGGUUUUGAAGUAGCGCUGGACGCGUCUCGGAACCAAAAAAAAAAAAGCCAGGACUAUCACCCUGUCGUGCUCAGUCUCCCGUCAGAAACACCGCGACCGUGGUCAGCCCGGCUGCCGCGAAGAGUUCGUCUCUGUCGCUCCGGUGUCUUCAUGGAGGGAGUCUGUUUAUCUGAGCAUAUUAAAACUGAGCAGGGUCACUCUGUCGGACCUCCAGUGGUCCGGUUAGACAGCCUGAGCUCAAACAAAC